GGACAAUCUGCCGAGAAGUGGGGGAUAGCUCGUCGAAAGGCGAAUUAAUACCGCAUGUGGUUAGGGAGGACAUCCUUCCGACACCAAAGCCGGGGCAACCUGGCGCUUCUUGAUGAGUCCGCGGCCUAUCAGCUAGUUGGCGGGGUAAAAGCCCACCAAGGCUAUGACGGGUAGCUGGUCUGAGAGGACGACCAGCCACACUGGAACUGAGACACGGUCCAGACACCUACGGGUGGCAGCAGUCGAGAAUUUUUCUCAAUGGGGGAAACCCUGAAGGAGCGACGCCGCGUGAAGGAUGAAGGUCUUCGGAUUGUAAACUUCUGUCAUUUGAGAACAAUGUGCAUUUAUUAACUGUAGAUGCAUUGAUAGUAUCAGAAGAGGAAGAGACGGCUAACUCUGUGCCAGCAGCCGCGGUAAUACAGAGGUCUCGAGCGUUGUUCGGAUUCAUUGGGCGUAAAGGGUGCGUAGGUGGCUAGGUAAGUCGGAUGUGAAAUCCCGGGGCUCAACCCCGGAACUGCAUUCGAUACUGCCUGGCUAGAGUACUGGAGAGGAGAUUGGAAUUUACGGU
This 568-nucleotide ribosomal RNA is filed under the name uncultured bacterium. Its description in RNAcentral is "bacterial SSU rRNA". It matches the Rfam family "Bacterial small subunit ribosomal RNA", at positions 119 to 674 of the family's 1533-position model. The record is from RNAcentral.